Molecule: ribosomal RNA, 465 nt
Filed under: uncultured bacterium
Lineage: Bacteria
Description: partial 16S ribosomal RNA
Rfam family: Bacterial small subunit ribosomal RNA
Source: RNAcentral
CUACGGGGGGCUGCAGUGGGGAAUAUUGGACAAUGGGGGAAACCCUGAUCCAGCAAUGCCGCGUGUGUGAAGAAGGCCUGCGGGUUGUAAAGCACUUUUGGUUGGGAGGACUGCUUCUAGCACUAAUAUUGUUGGAAGUUGACGUUACCUUCAGAAGAAGCACCGGCUAACUCCGUGCCAGCAGCCGCGGUAAUACGGAGGGUGCAAGUGUUAAUCGGAAUUACUGGGCGUAAAGCGCGCGUAGGCGGCUAGAUCAGUCGGGUGUGAAAGCCCCGGGCUUAACCUGGGAACUGCAUCCGAUACUGUCUAGCUUGAGUACAGGAGAGGAGAGUGGAAUUCCACAUGUAGCGGUGACAUGCGUAGAUAUGUGGAGGAACACCAAUGGCGAAGGCAGCUCUCUGGCCUGAUACUGACGCUGAGGUGCGAAAGCGUGGGGAGCAAACAGGAUUAGAUACCCCCGUAGUC